UUCUUUAAAGAAAGCUCCGGCGCUUUGGGAGGGGCUUGUAUUCUAUUAGCUAGUUGGUAAGGUAAAGGCUUACCAAGGCGAUGAUAGAUAGCUGGUCUGAGAGGAUGAUCAGCCACACUGGCACUGAAACACGGGCCAGACUUCUACGGAAGGCAGCAGUAGGGGAUUUUCCGCAAUGGACGAAAGUCUGACGGAGCAAUACCGCGUGGAGGAUGACACCCUUAGGGGCGUAAACUCCUUUUCUGUGUGACGAUUGUGACGGUAACACAGGAAUAAGCAUCGGCUAACUACGUGCCAGCAGCAGCGGUAAUACGUAGGAUGCGAGCGUUAACCGGAAUUACUGGGCGUAAAGCGUGUGAAGGCGGUUCUUUAAGUCGAUUGUUAAAUCCCAGUGCUCAACAUUGGAGCUGCAAUCGAUACUGGAGGACUAGAGAUGGUGAGAGGAAAAUGGAAUUCCUGGUGUAGCGGUAAAAUGCAUUGAUAUCAGGAGGAAUACCAGAAGCGAAGGCGAUUUUCUGGCACUUUUCUGACGCUAAAGCACGAAGGCUAGGGUAGCAAAAGGGAUUAGAUACCCCUGUAGUCCUAGCAGUAAACGGUGGAUAUUAGACAUUGGGAGCAUCGACCCUUUCAGUGUCGCAGCUAACGCAUUAAAUAUCCCGCCUAGGGAGUACGGUCGCAAGGCUAAAACUCAAAGGAAUUGACGGGGGUCCGCACAAGCAGCGGAGCGUGUGGUUUAAUUCGAUACAACACGAAAACCUUACCGAGACUUGACAUCCUGAGAAUCCUGUAGAGAUACGGGAGUGCCCUUUGGGAGCUCAGUGACAGGUGCUGCAUGGUUGUCGUCAGCUCGUGCCGUGAGGUGUUGGGUUAAGUCCCUUAACGAGCGCAACCCCUAUCCUGUGUUGGAUUUUCACAGGAGACUGCCUGGCACAACCGGGAGGAAGGUGGGGAUGAUGUCAAAUCAGCAUGGCUUUUACGUCUCGGGCUACACACACGCUACAAUGGCCAGCACAAAGGGUCGCGAAGCCGCGAGGUUUUAGCAAAUCCCAUCAAAGCUGGUCCCAGUUCGGAUUGUAGGCUGAAAUUCGCCUGCAUGAAGUCGGAGUUGCUAGUAAUCGUGGAUCAGCAUGCCACGGUGAAUAUGUUCCCGGACCUUGUACACACCGCCCGUCAAGUCCUGAAAGUUGGGAGUACCCGAAGCCGGUAAGCUAACUUUUUAGAGGCAGCUGUCGAAGGUAAAACCAAUGAUUGGGACUAAGUCGGAACAAGGUA
This 1272-nucleotide ribosomal RNA is filed under the name metagenome. Its description in RNAcentral is "bacterial SSU rRNA". It matches the Rfam family "Bacterial small subunit ribosomal RNA", at positions 193 to 1498 of the family's 1533-position model. The record is from RNAcentral.